AUUGAACGCUGGCGGAAUGCUUUACACAUGCAAGUCGAACGGCAGCACGGACUUCGGUCUGGUGGCGAGUGGCGAACGGGUGAGUAAUGUAUCGGAACGUGCCCAGUCGUGGGGAUAACGUAGUGAAAAUUACGCUAAUACCGCAUACGAUCUAUGGAUGAAAGCGGGGGAUCGCAAGACCUCGCGCGAUUGGAGCGGCCGAUAUCAGAUUAGGUAGUUGGUGGGGUAAAGGCCCACCAAGCCAACGAUCUGUAGCUGGUCUGAGAGGACGACCAGCCACACUGGAACUGAGACACGGUCCAGAGUCCUACGGGAGGCAGCAGUGGGGAAUUUUGGACAAUGGGCGAAAGCCUGAUCCAGCCAUUCCGCGUGCAGGAUGAAGGCCCUCGGGUUGUAAACUGCUUUUGUACAGAACGAAAAGGUUUCUACUAAUACUAGGAGCUCAUGACGGUACUGCAAGAAUAAGCACCGGCUAACUACGUGCCAGCCGCCGCAGUAA
Molecule: ribosomal RNA, 499 nt
Filed under: uncultured bacterium
Lineage: Bacteria
Description: partial 16S ribosomal RNA
Rfam family: Bacterial small subunit ribosomal RNA
Source: RNAcentral